RNAcentral lists this non-coding RNA (45 nucleotides) under Schistosoma curassoni. Lineage: Eukaryota; Metazoa; Platyhelminthes; Trematoda; Strigeidida; Schistosomatidae. The record is from RNAcentral.
AUCGAACUGACGAGUCCCAAAUAGGACGAAACGCGCGUCCUGGAU